CGUCUCAGUUCGGAUUGUAGUCUGCAACUCGACUACAUGAAGCUGGAAUCGCUAGUAAUCGCGGAUCAGAAUGCCGCGGUGAAUACGUUCCCGGGUCUUGUACACACCGCCCGUCACACCAUGGGAGUCGGAAAUGCCCGAAGUCUGUGACCGAACCGAAAGGAAGGAGCAGCCGAAGGCAGGUCGGAUGACUGGGGUGAAGUCGUAACAAGGUAAC
This 217-nucleotide ribosomal RNA is filed under the name uncultured bacterium. RNAcentral's name for it is "partial 16S ribosomal RNA". It matches the Rfam family "Bacterial small subunit ribosomal RNA", at positions 1284 to 1500 of the family's 1533-position model. The record is from RNAcentral.